UAAGGAUUAAGAAACAAAACAAUGAGGGAUUAGCGUGAAUGGGGCUGUAGCAAAACAAUGAGGAUUAAGAAAGAAGAUUUCCCUCGAAUUGUGAGUUUUUCUUCUUCCUUGCUGAGACUUCUUGCGCCUUCCCUACUGUUAUGCUUCUUCUUUUCUUUUUCUGCCCAUCCUCGUCGAACCAGAACUGAAAUUUUGUUAUGCGGUUGGGGGGUUCUGGUGUCGAUUCUGAUGGAAGUUGGAGGGUGAAGGUGACGUAGGAUGUAGGUUAGAAGGGUGACGACGAGUGAGUGUGGUUGAGGUAUUUAUCCCUGGUUCUGUUGAGUGUCCUCGAUAGUGAAGCAGUUAGGGUGCCUCUUUUAUAGUUGGGUUGAAGUGGAUUUUGGUUGAAGAGUUGGUGUUCUGUUGAUGGUGAUGAGAUGGAAAUGAGACUGGUUGAGGGUGAAGUGAGAGGAUAAUGAAAUGGGAGUGAAGAAGAUUGAUAGUGGAUGGAGAAGAUGGAAGGAAGUGAAAACGAGAAUCCGAUUGAAGAAGAUGGGGUGAGUAUUGGUAUUAUGUGGAUUGAAGGUUGAAAAAGAUGAAGUGAGUAAAGAUAGAAGGUGAAGAGAAGAUGGAAGAAAAACGAGCGAGCUUUCUGAACUGUGAAGGUUUGGUUCAGUUUUUUAGAGGUUAUUGUGGUGUGCCGGAUGCGGUUCUUUAAGGGUAAAGAAGAGGGUUCGAUUAUGCCUUUUGAUGGAUGAUGAAGAGUUAGUUUCCAGGAGGUUUUGCAACUGAUUUUAUGUUAAAAAGUUUUGGAGGGUUUAUUGCAAUUUGGUUGGAAGGUUGUUUCUCUAUUUUUGGAACGUUCUGUCAUGGCGGUUAUGAGAGGUUGGAUGAAGUUCGUUAUACCGGCCGGUGAAAACUUGAAGGUUAAUUAGAGCUUACACUAUUUAUUGUAGGGUAGAAAUGGUUAUAAUAUGUUUUCAAAUGUGAUGAUGAUGCUUGUUAGCUUGACUUAGGAUUAGGGUGAGAUUAUGUUUUGGGAAUGUAUUGAUAUGGAUUGAUGAUGUAUGGUAUAUGGUUUUGGAUUAAUUGGAGAACUGGAUAGUAAUGGAUUUUGUGGAGAAGUGGAUUAUGGUUAUGGAUACUGGAAUUGUUU
Lathyrus oleraceus (garden pea) is the source of this 1135-nucleotide long non-coding RNA. RefSeq lists it as uncharacterized. The record is from RefSeq and is a predicted model, not a curated record. Lineage: Eukaryota; Viridiplantae; Streptophyta; Magnoliopsida; Fabales; Fabaceae. The transcript is spliced from 2 exons.